GUAAAAAAGUGCAGAUAGACGUGGAAGCAUGAAAAAUUGCCACGUACACCUUAAAGAACUGUCAAAUUAUGUAUUUGUAAGAAUUUUUAUUUUGCUGUUUGGAAAGAGAGAAAAGGGGAUAUUGAUGCAACUUUGAAAAUUUCCUCGUCAAACCUUGGGAAGGACAACCUUGAGAAGGAACUAUAUCUUGGGAAGGACAACCUUGGGAAGGAACUAUAUCUUGACCAAGAUCCUCCAUUUAGACUAAGAUCCUCCAUUUGAAAGUAAAAAAGUGCAGAUAGACGUGGAAGCUUGAAAAAUUGCCACGUACACCUUAAAGAACUGUCAAAUUAUGUAUUUGUAAGAAUUUUUAUUUUGCUGUUUGGAAAGAGAGAAAAGGGGAUAUUGAUGCAACUUUGAAAAUUUCCUCGUCAAACCUUGGGAAGGACAACCUUGAGAAGGAACUAUAUCUUGGGAAGGACAACCUUGGGAAGGAACUAUAUCUUGACCAAGAUCCUCCAU
RNAcentral lists this long non-coding RNA (501 nucleotides) under Ananas comosus (pineapple). Its description in RNAcentral is "long non-coding RNA (ACOM_LNC030060)". Lineage: Eukaryota; Viridiplantae; Streptophyta; Magnoliopsida; Poales; Bromeliaceae. The record is from RNAcentral.